This is a long non-coding RNA of Microcebus murinus (gray mouse lemur), 1959 nucleotides long. RefSeq lists it as uncharacterized. The record is from RefSeq and is a predicted model, not a curated record. Lineage: Eukaryota; Metazoa; Chordata; Mammalia; Primates; Cheirogaleidae.
AGAGAGAAAGAGCAGUAGAUAAAGAAUAGGGACAUGAAAUCACUGCUUUUAUAAUCAAAAUAAGGCUCAGCUCCUCGAGGCUGACAGUGAAAAAGAUUCCCCACGUGACUGCGGGGGCCAGAAGCAGAGAGACCACAAAAUCCUGGCCCCUGGCCCAGGGAGUCAUCUUUCUCUUGAGAAUCACUCACUGAUGAUUUUGGCUCCAUCAGAGCCUCCUUGGGUCAUUUCUGCCUUUCAUCUCCAAGGCACAACCAUGAGAUGACAAGGGGCAUUUCUCAACAUCCAUGGCACAACCAAGCCAAAGCUGGAAAGUUAACAACUUUUCUAAAGGCAAGGAUGAUGUUUCCCAACCUUCUGAGGUCAUAGAAACUGCCCUGGACACCAGUUUAAAUAUACAGAAUCUCAAGGAACUUGGAUUCAGGAGAUGUGCAGGAGGCCUGGAAAUAGGUAUUUUAAACUAAUGCCAGUUAUCCUCAAAUUCCUGCAAGUUCUAGUAUCACUGUGUUGGCAAGUAACAAAGAGAAAUAAACAUAGUAGCAUAAAUCCAUGUAGUCAGGCUCACAAGAAAAGGCCACUUUUAACCCUAUGCUGCAGUCCUCACCCUACCUCUGUGUGUUUGAUGCUAUGGUGGCACAUGUUUGCUAUUUUUAUCUCCUAGAAAAUGUCUGGGCCCAAGAAAAAGAGGCCCUUUGCCAAAUUAUAAGAUAGUAAAGGAGGAAGGGAAGGUGGCUAGAAGGCUUCUUCCAUUCUUAACAUUUUUCAAAGACUAGGGUUUUGUUGUUGUUGUUGUUUGAGACGGUGUCUCGCUCUGUUGCCCAGGGUAGAGUGGAGUGACAUCAUCAAAGGUCCUUGCAACCUAGAAUUUCUGGGCUCAAGUGAUCCUCCUUUCUCAGCCUCUGAGUAGCUGUGACUACAGUUUGAAAGAAGAAACACUUCCAAAAGAAGCAACCAAGUCUACAAAGGCACAGUUUGACUCAAAUGGAUCCAACCGAUUAGCAAAUGGAAAAUAACACUGAGGAACAAGUUUUGCAUCACAAGCAUAGCAGCUCCAAGUCACCCCUAUGGAAGCUAAAGCUUUAAGUGCAACCCAGAGAAGGGAUGGUCCAGAAUCUCUGCUUUAUAUUUGCAUAGCUUCACCGUCCAAGCCAGUUGCUCUCCACAAAAGGUGAGGGGAGAAAAUAAAGCAGGUGGAGAAAUACACUACUUAAUGCAGUUCAGUAACUGGGAACCAAUUUCUUGGAAACAUGGCCUACAGGAAUACCCAUCUUAACAUCAGAAGGUGGAUAUAAUUACCACUGAAGGCGUUUAACAAACCUCUAAAACAGUUCCUAUGAAGAGUACACUUCAGAAAAAUCUAUGCAAAGAAGUAAAAAACGAAAGAAAGACAAAACUUGAACCUCAUGAGAGUGGAGAGAAUGCAAAAGGUAAGAAGGGGGAAAGGAGGUCAGGGAAGCAGAAAGGAACAGGAAAAGAAUAUGGAUGGUCACGGGGCAGGAAUUUGCAACAUUGUGAACAUCUUAAAUUUACCAUUAAAAUUUAAGAAAUAUAUGUCUUUGAAAAAUGCAGGCAAUUCAGAAGUACACCAGGUAAAAUGUGGAAACACUUUUUUCACAACCUACACACAACAUCCCCACUACAGAGGUGGGAGAGGUUAGGGUGAAGCUGGAGGCAGUAUUCUGAUAGGCUUCAUAUAUCUGUACCAGUGAGAGUAGUCAUAAUGUUAGAUGAAUAUAUUUGAAUGGUACUAAGUACACAAAACUCAUGGUAACUAAUAUAGUUUUCCCACAAUUUUGGUCUUACCAACUUGCAGUUGAAACAUUUUUAUAUUCCUUUUGUAAUCAUCUGAAGAUAAUGAACUAAAUGCUAGCCAUUGUUUUCCAGAGUAGAAUUUUUGGAGUUACUGGUAGUUUGGAGAAUUUCCAUCUUAUGAUGUAUCUUUUUAUAUAGCUUUGUGUGUGU